AUUGAACGCUGGCGGCAGGCUUAACACAUGCAAGUCGAGCGGAGACUUCGGUCUUAGCGGCGAACGGGUGAGGAAUGCCUGGGAAUCUGCCUGUUAGUGGGGGAUAACGAAUCGAAAGGUUCGCUAAUACCGCAUACGUCCUACGGGAGAAAGCAGGGGACCUUCGGGCCUUGCGCUAACAGAUGAGCCCAGGUCGGAUUAGCUAGUAGGUGGGGUAAAGGCUCACCUAGGCGACGAUCCGUAGCUGGUCUGAGAGGAUGAUCAGCCACACUGGAACUGAGACACGGUCCAGACUCCUACGGGAGGCAGCAGUGGGGAAUAUUGGACAAUGGGCGAAAGCCUGAUCCAGCCAUGCCGCGUGUGUGAAGAAGGCCUUCGGGUUGUAAAGCACUUUAAGCGGGGAGGAAGGCCUUGGGAUUAAUACUCCUGAGGAUUGACGUUACCCGCAGAAUAAGCACCGGCUAACUCUGUG
This 472-nucleotide ribosomal RNA is filed under the name uncultured bacterium. Its description in RNAcentral is "bacterial SSU rRNA". It matches the Rfam family "Bacterial small subunit ribosomal RNA", at positions 30 to 507 of the family's 1533-position model. The record is from RNAcentral.